AGAAAAGAGAAGGAUGGAAUGUGUGCUGGGGGGAGAACACAGUUCGACACAGAUGGAGGCAGGAAAUGGAGGAGCUGGGGUUUCCUGCUGCCACCUAGGCCUGGAGCUGUCACAGGAGCAGGAACACGGUUCUGCUCUUCAUCUGCCUGCAGGAGGCCUCGGAGGAGCCAGAUCCCGAAGCUGCCGCAGAGAAAAUCUGACACGGGAGGUGCUGGAAGCAGCCCAGCCCGUCCCUCCUCUUACCGCCCUCACCUCCCCUGUGGAUGCAAAGUUCCAAAGUUCCACUGCGUUUUUAAAGGUGCCAUUACUUAAGCUCCAGCCUCUGUUGCCGUGA
This 334-nucleotide long non-coding RNA is filed under the name Microcebus murinus (gray mouse lemur). RNAcentral describes it as "lncRNA (ENSMICG00000048775.1)". Lineage: Eukaryota; Metazoa; Chordata; Mammalia; Primates; Cheirogaleidae. The record is from RNAcentral.